GCGGGAGUAGCUCAUUCGGUAGAGCGCAGCCUUGCCAAGGCUGAGGUGGCGGGUUCGAGCCCCGUUUCCCGCUCCA
RNAcentral lists this transfer RNA (76 nucleotides) under Firmicutes bacterium HGW-Firmicutes-9. RNAcentral's name for it is "tRNA-Gly". It matches the Rfam family "tRNA". Rfam says of the family: Transfer RNA (tRNA) molecules are approximately 80 nucleotides in length. Their secondary structure includes four short double-helical elements and three loops (D, anti-codon, and T loops). The record is from RNAcentral. Lineage: Bacteria; Bacillati; Bacillota.